Molecule: ribosomal RNA, 239 nt
Filed under: uncultured bacterium
Lineage: Bacteria
Description: partial 16S ribosomal RNA
Rfam family: Bacterial small subunit ribosomal RNA
Source: RNAcentral
UACGAAGGAUGCAAGCGUUAUCCGGAUUUAUUGGGUUUAAAGGGAGCGUAGGCGGUCUUAUAAGUCAGUGGUGAAAUCUCGAUGCUUAACAUCGAACGUGCCAUUGAUACUGUAGGACUUGAGUACAGAUGCCGUUGGCGGAAUGUGUCAUGUAGCGGUGAAUGCAUAGAUAUGACACAGAACACCGAUUGCGAAGGCAGCUGACGGAAACUGUAAACUGACGCUAAGGCUCGAAAGCG